Molecule: ribosomal RNA, 186 nt
Filed under: Triticum aestivum (bread wheat)
Lineage: Eukaryota; Viridiplantae; Streptophyta; Magnoliopsida; Poales; Poaceae
Description: partial small subunit ribosomal RNA
Source: RNAcentral
AGAAGAAAGGCCAACGCCUUGCUUAUUAUACUAGUAAUCUGGGAGCUUUAAAAUGAGAGGAAAGUGUGAGUCUUCCGUAACAAAACGACUUUGCCCACAAUCAUCUCUGUAAACAUCCAGCCAGAGGCGAGGAAUUUGGUUCUCACCGAGGCAAAACAUUUGAGCUCUUUGAUGCCGCGAGAGUAG